AUACACAACCAAACAACAAGAAACCUUAUUCACAGCCACGACGGAAUCGCUGAGACCAUUGCGUCUUACCGGAAUGGAACUCCGACGCGGAGACAAUCGGCGACAGUAGAACCGCUUUGGUGGUGAAGUUGUGGAUCGAUGUACGGUGUGAGCUUGGCGGCGUGAGGAUCUGAAAUGGAAAUGCAUGAUGAAUCGAUUGCGAGAAGGUGAAGAAAACAAGACUGAAAGAGUGAAGGAUUGGAGAUUUUGAAGUUUUUUUGAAGAAACUGCAGAAUCUCAG
RNAcentral lists this long non-coding RNA (280 nucleotides) under Lathyrus oleraceus (garden pea). RNAcentral describes it as "Pisum sativum (pea) long non-coding RNA (PSAT_LNC034243)". The record is from RNAcentral. Lineage: Eukaryota; Viridiplantae; Streptophyta; Magnoliopsida; Fabales; Fabaceae.